RNAcentral lists this non-coding RNA (21 nucleotides) under Caenorhabditis elegans. The record is from RNAcentral. Lineage: Eukaryota; Metazoa; Nematoda; Chromadorea; Rhabditida; Rhabditidae.
UGUUCGGGCACAAAGUAGGAA